CAAUAGCGUAUAUUUAAGUUGUUGCAGUUAAAAAGCUCGUAGUCGGAUUUUGGCUGAGAACGAACGGUCCGCCGUUUCGGUGUGCACUUGCUACGCCCACCUUGCUGCCGGGGACGUGCUCUUGAGUUCACGCUCGGGACACGGAGUCGGCGAGGUUACUUUGAGUAAAUUAGAGUGUUCAAAGCAGGCCUACGCUCUGAAUACAUUAGCAUGGAAUAACACGAUAGGACUCUGGCCUAUCUUGUUGGUCUGUAGGACCGGAGUAAUGAUUAAGAGGGACAGUCGGGGGCAUUCGUAUUUCAUUGUCAGAGGUGAAAUUCUUGGAUUUAUGAAAGACGAACUACUGCGAAAGCAUUUGCCAAGGAUGUUUUCAUUAA
Molecule: ribosomal RNA, 377 nt
Filed under: uncultured eukaryote
Lineage: Eukaryota
Description: partial 18S ribosomal RNA
Rfam family: Eukaryotic small subunit ribosomal RNA
Source: RNAcentral